GUAGGUGAACCUGCGGAAGGAUCAUUAACACGUAUCCACGUAUAAACCCAAUGUGCUUAUUUGUUGUUGUACCCUGUCAGAAGACUGAGUGUGAGUGCGGUCGGGAGUGGUGAAGGCGUUUCGGCGCUUUUGACCGACUGUGUUCGGAGGACGCCUCACGGCGUUUUCAGCUUGGGCUUCGCUAGUACAGGUUUUGUUCCUCUCACCAUUGGAACUACUCUUUAUUUCUUUAACCCCUUGUAACAACUAU
RNAcentral lists this unclassified non-coding RNA (250 nucleotides) under plant metagenome. RNAcentral's name for it is "partial contains small subunit ribosomal RNA, internal transcribed spacer 1, and 5.8S ribosomal RNA". The record is from RNAcentral.